CACAAACACACCCUGGAAAAGUUCACAAUCCCAGGUAAAACAGAACUUCCAUCUCAGUUCAGGGAUAGGCGAGAAGUGAUUCAGCAGACAUAUCCAUACCAUACUUUUAAAGCACAUUUAUACCACUUUAACAGGCAUGACUUCCCUCAAAGAAUUCUGGGACUUGUAGUUUACCCCCACAGGAUUACAAUUCCCAGCACCCUUAACAAGCAACAGUUCCCAUAACUCUUUGAGGGAAGCCACAUGCUGUAAGUGUUCAUUCAAUGCAUGUUAUGGGCAUGGUGACCUAAAUAGCUAGAUCUUCCCUGGCCAGUGAAAACAAAAGAGGGUGGAAGCGGAAUAGCUCUGGGGUUUCACAAUGCUGGCACAGCCAUUCAAAAGGCCCUUGGCUGUAGCAAGGCCCUCCAUCUUUAAUCAUUCUGUUUGUUUGUUUUUGUAUGGCUCCUUGAGGAUCAGUUUCAUGGAAAGGCAGCACAGAGAUUUAUGUAGAGCAAGGUGGAAGCAGGCACAUAGGGAGGAAAUCCUGUUCCUCCUUUGCUGGUUUUGGGGUCACAAGUAGAUGUAUGAUUUAAAAACCACUCUCCUAUCUUGUCAAGCCCCUCUGAGUCUUCUGUGGGAUGGGAGGUCACAGGUUUAAAUUUCAUCUUAGCCAUUACAAUGGUACCUCGGGUUACAUUCUCUUCAGGUUACGUACACACUCCACUAAGCCAGAAAUAGUGCUUCAGGUGAAGAACAUUGCUUCAGGAUAAGAACAAAAAUCGCACAGCGGUGGAGCGGCGGCAGUGGGAGGCUCCAUUAGCUAAAGUGGUGCUUCAGGUUAAGAACAGUUUCAGGUUAAGAACGGACCUCUGGAACGAAUUAAGUACCUAACCCGAGGUACCACUGUACAUUACAUUACCUUGGGUUACAAACUUGAAUACGUUCUGGAGGUAUGUUCUUAACCUGAAACCGUUCUUAACUUGAGGUGCGCUUUCGCUAAUGGGGCCUCCCGCAGCUCUGCUGGCGCGCGAUUUCCACUGUCAUCCUGGGACAAAGUUCUCAAUCCGAGGUACUACUUUCGAGUUAGUGGAGUUAGUUACCCAAAGUGUUUGUAACCCAAAGUGUUUGUAACCCGAGGUAGGACUGUAAUUUGUUGGGCAGCCUUAAGCAACACUCUUAGACCUUAUAGGGCUGGUGUUGCCAGAAGGAUUGGGAUAACUAUUGUUUCUUAAUACUGUACUUUAUUCAUAAGUGUCACUGUUGUAUUUGUGUUUUUCCAGCAUUUUUAUCCUGCUUUUUUUUUUUUUUUGGAUAUUCUCACUGUUAGCCAUCCUGUAAGCCUUUUAGAAAAGGCAAAAUACAGUAUUUUAAAAAUAAAUAAAAUAAAUGUGAAGUGUUCUCAGACUUUGGGAAAUGCAUUGUCCUUUUGUAUUGACUAUAAUAAUACAAUACAUAACAUGUUUCUUUUAAAUGUUAAUUAAUUCACAUUAUUUAACAUUAAUAAAAUAGAAUUAUUGUCAGGUUGGAAACCUUAGUAUCACUUGAACACCCUUACUAAGACUCCUUCUUCUUCCCUUUACUUCUGAUGUUCGGGUAGUGAGUGCCAUUGUUAAUAUAGCCAAAACAGUACAAUCCAGGCAUACUACUGUAUAGCUGUAUCAGCAGGUUCAGGGAACUGCAGAAGUUUGAAGAAGUACAAUUUUAUUUUAAGGGUGGUGUGUGUAGGGGGGUGGAAUCCUCCCUCAAGGGGGAGAAACAAUCCCGAAUAGGCCAGGUGUGCCCAGUGGCUGUGAAAUGCUGAUUGCCUGUUUGCGGGGUGUGUGUGUAUGGAGGGGGGAGACCACUAAGGAAGAGAGAAUGGAGUGGAGUGGCUGGAGCACUGCAACAUUUUGUUGCAGCUUCCACUUUUCUUAAAAAAUGUUUUUAUUAAUUUUUAGUAAUCAAAAAUACAAAACAAAUGAUAACAAUGAAUAGGAAACAAUUCCAUGGGUAAGGUUCAAAACCAUGUAAAGUAUUCAUUAUUGUUAUUGUUUUUAUUACAGGGGCCAACCCAAAGUACUCAGCCAGUUGGCCGUGGGUGGCUGGAUGAUUGCAGACUUUCUCUUUUUUUGCACCGUGUGUAAUAAGACAAUGUCAUAUGUCAGAAAAGUUAUCUGCUCCAAAUCAUUUUCUUCAAGCCUUAAGUUUAUGUGUUAAUUUCCCCAUCAUUGCUAAGUUCCAUACCUCAUGAUUCCAAGCAACAAGGGGGAAUGUCACAAGGUCAUUUUGGAACACUAAUUUACGUUACCCAUCAACUCUGUGUAAGAGAGCCGGUCCAGAUAAAAAUGACUGGGUGGUAAUGCUGUUGAUUUCUUAAAAUCUAUUCCUCCAGAACAUAGCAACGUCUCGACCCAGCCACCACAUGUGACCAAAAAAUGUACUCACAUGCCUACAUCCCUCCGGCACAUCCAAGAAAACCAUUUCUUUGUUCUGUGGAGAUUAUGGUGGGGAUGGUGAGGUAUGAACAAUAUAUUAUUUUUGUAGCAUUUCCUCUUACCCUGGCAGAGACAGAUUAAAACAGGGUCUUGUUCCAUAUUCUAUUCCAAGAGUCCUCACGUAUUUUCAGUUGAAAAUUGUGUUCCCAGGGAAUGUUACUUACCACCGUGGCCACAGGGUCCACUUUUAAAAAAUGUAUUACACUGGUUGUUCUGUUUGGCCUCACAACAUCUCAUUUCCAUUUUACAGCUGAGGAGCUGAGGCUUGAUCCUACCCGAUCCUCAUUUCCCAGUCCUGAGCACAGCUCAUUGGAAUGUGUUAUGCUGACAUCAAAGCACCUGGCUGUGUCACCACCAAAUCAUUUAUGAGGCAAGAGGUUUGAAGAUAAUAAACGUGAUAAGGAAUGUUCCUGAGAAAGUUCAAUAUCAGGCUGGUGCUCAAGACAAGGGAAACACCCCCAGCCACCACCUCCCAAGCUGUAGAUGCUUCUCAGUGUGGGCUGAAUGAUUGCACCAGAAGAAACUACCUCGCCCCAGUAAAACAUGUAAAGGAAAGGCAGUCCCUCUCCAACAUCCUUAUGGGUCACCCAAAACUACAGGUAGAAUCUGGCACACCCAAAUUCUCACUUCCAUUGAUAGGAUGGGAAAUCAUCAUAUGGGAAUAUGGGAAUGGAUUGUCUCCUGAUUCUGUGUAAGUACUUGGGAAUCUCUGAAAGAAGGAGAGCACCAGGAGUGGGGCAGGUGAGUGCAAGGCCAUCUCAGUGAGAUUUGAACUUGCACUCUUAUCUUAUACCUAAAAAAAUGGGGUUGGCUUUUAACAACCCUUCUUCUUUGACGAUCACUCAUAGCCGAGUGUGUGUCUUCCAUGAACAUGGUCUUAACAGUGAGUCCGUAAGUGACUGUGGAGGCCAGUUUUGGAACCACAAGUCCUUUCACAGUGGGGACAUAGGUUUCCAGGUGGGAGUUGAUCACAGUGAUGGUUUGCCAAGCAUGCCUUCCUCUUAACAUGUUUCUCCCUUUUGUCCCAAGUUCAAGCGUCUUCAGAAUCCAUGACACCUUUGGUAAAGGCUGUUCUCCAAUUGGACUGCUCGCAGGCCAGUGUUUCCCAAUUGUCUGUGGGACAGCCCAGCUCCCCAAGGGACUCAGAGUCCCCUAAGUCUGUGAUAGGUCACAGAAGAAUGGAUGGAGGUAGGAACCAGUAGAAGAAAAGCAAGGAAGAUCUUUAUUUUUCCGUUGUAACAGAGUCCCACCCCCACCCUGCCCUCCAAGGAGGUGAGGACCCAGAACAAGUGUAACAACUUUUAAAGUUUUUAAAAUUGCCCAACUCCUUAGUCAAAGACCACCCAAAAGCAUCAUACAAGUGUCACAGAAAGAUGCCUACCAUAGAAAAUUGAGAAUAUGGCUUAUCUCCUGUCUGUUAAGAUACCUGAUAAUGCUUGCUGAUUGCAUUAUCCUGGCCAGUCUGGGCCAUUCUUUUGAAAUGCUAAAUUUCUGAAAACAUUGUCACAGACCUCCCCUAUUCAUACACAAGAUUAGUCCUUUUGACAGGAUUUGAAUGAUUUGUGAGUGGAAAGAACUAUUGGGAAAGGUUUUUCCAAGACUCUUCCUUCUGUAGAGAAAUAUUUGGGGUCAUUAAGAGAGCCAAGAUGGCUUUGGGAUUGUUCUGUGUACUAAAAUAAAGUGUAAAUUUUUUCAG
Podarcis lilfordi (Lilford's wall lizard) is the source of this 4149-nucleotide non-coding RNA. The record is from the annotation of a GenBank genome assembly. Lineage: Eukaryota; Metazoa; Chordata; Lepidosauria; Squamata; Lacertidae.